CCUACGGGUGGCAGCAGUGGGGAAUAUUGCACAAUGGGGGAAACCCUGAUGCAGCGACGCCGCGUGAGCGAGGAAGUAUUUCGGUAUGUAAAGCUCUAUCAGCAGGGACGAAAAAAGACGGUACCUGACUAAGAAGCCCCGGCUAACUACGUGCCAGCAGCCGCGGUAAUACGUAGGGGGCAAGCGUUGUCCGGAUUUACUGGGUGUAAAGGGAGCGUAGACGGCAGCACAAGUCUGGAGUGAAAUCACGGGGCUUAACCCCGGAACUGCUUUGGAAACUGUGCGGCUGGAGUGCAGGAGGGGUAAGCGGAAUUCCUAGUGUAGCGGUGAAAUGCGUAGAUAUUAGGAGGAACACCGGUGGCGAAGGCGGCUUACUGGACUGUAACUGACGUUGAGGCUCGAAAGCGUGGGGAGCAAACAGGAUUAGAUACCCCAGUAGUC
This 441-nucleotide ribosomal RNA is filed under the name uncultured bacterium. RNAcentral's name for it is "partial 16S ribosomal RNA". It matches the Rfam family "Bacterial small subunit ribosomal RNA", at positions 338 to 795 of the family's 1533-position model. The record is from RNAcentral.